AUAAAAAAUUGUGAAGAAUAACUUUAGUUUUAGUUGAAGGCCCAAAAUAAAACAAGUAGGGUUGCCCUAGCUAUAAAAUAUAAAUCAUUUCUAUUCUAUCACACCCACAAUUCCAUUCGCCGCUCUCCUCUAACACCCUAAACCAAUAUCAAUACCGAAAGAUCUCACAAAAAACAACUUGAAUCAAGAUGCGUGCUAAGUGGAAGAAGAAGAGAAUGAGGAGGCUAAAGAGGAAGCGCCGAAAGAUGAGGCAAAGAUCCAAGUAGACGAUUAGGCUGUGUAGGAUGGCUUCUUCCAAUCUUUCUUCAUGCACAUCGUCUCUUUGGAGUUUGUAUGUAAAAGAUGGAUCUUUGGGUUGAAGCUUUAUUAUAUAGUCUAGUUAGUUUCUGCAUGCUUGCUAUCUUUAAUUUCUGUUUUUCCUUAUGCUUUACCCGAAUACUACUGUCUUGGGGUUUUAACAUUUUGAGUUGAACUUAUCAUUUUGAAUCACUAGUGUUUGCUGUGUUUAAUUACUUAAA
Molecule: long non-coding RNA, 518 nt
Organism: Erigeron canadensis
Lineage: Eukaryota; Viridiplantae; Streptophyta; Magnoliopsida; Asterales; Asteraceae
Exons: 2
Source: RefSeq, a predicted model, not a curated record